Molecule: ribosomal RNA, 1874 nt
Filed under: gut metagenome
Description: bacterial LSU rRNA
Rfam family: Bacterial large subunit ribosomal RNA
Source: RNAcentral
GAUUCCCUGAGUAGCGGCGAGCGGAAGGGGAGGAGCCCAAACCGCCGAGAGCGGGGUUGUAGGACCGCCACGAGGAAGAAGAAAGCCGCGGCGCAGGAGAACCGCAUGGAAAGGCGGGACGAAGAGCGUGAGAUCCGCGUAACCGGAGCGCAGGCGGACUUCCGGCGGAAUCCUGAGUACGGCGGGGCACGGGAAACCCCGCCGGAAUCCGGGUCGACCACGAUCCAAGGCUAAAUACGGUGCGGCUACCGAUAGCGAACGAGUACCGUGAGGGAAAGGCGAAAAGAACCCCGGCGAGGGGAGUGAAAGAGAACCUGAAACCAUAGACCGACAAGAUGUCACAGCCCGCGAGGGUGGUGGCGUGUCUUUUGUAGGAUAAGCCUGCGAGUCGCGGUGUGCGGCGAGGCCAAGGGAUAGCAGUCCCGGAGCCGGAGGGAAACCGAGUCCGAAUAGGGCGGAAGUCGCAUGCAGCGGACCCGAAGCCAAGGUGAUCUUAUCAUGGGCAGGCUGAAGGCAGGGUAAAGCCUGUUGGAGGGCCGAACGGUAGUCUGUUAAAAAAGGCAGCGAUGACCUGUGAUAAGGAGUGAAAGGCUAAACAAACCUGGAGAUAGCUGGCUCUCCCCGAAAUGCCUUUAGGGACAGCCUCGUACAGGACUCGCGGAGGUAAAGCACUGGAUGGCAGAGGGGGCGUCAAAGCCUACCGAUGCCAAUCAAACUCUGAAUGCCGCGAGCCUGCGUACGGGAGUGAGACUGUGUGCGCCAAGGUUCACAGUCGAGAGGGAAACAGCCCGGACCGCCGGCCAAGGUCCCAAAAUCAUGCCGAGUGUUAAAUGAGGUGCGGAUGCGCGGACAGCCAGGAGGUUGGCUCAGAAGCAGCCAUUCCUUGAAAGAGUGCGUAACAGCUCACUGGUCGAGCAUGCGCGCGCAGACAAUGUAGCGGGGCUAAGCAUGAUACCGAAGCCGCGGGCCGGCGCCGCAGAGGCGCCGGCGGUAGGGGAGCAUUCCGCUUGCCGGAGAAGGCGCACCCGCGAGGGGCGCUGGAGGGCGCGGAAGAGAGAAUGCAGGCAUAAGUAACGAAAAGACGGGUGGGAUUCCCGUCCGCCGGAAGCCUGAGGUUUCCAGGGUAAAGGCAAUCUGCCCUGGGUAAGUCGGCCCCUAAGACGAGGCGGAAACGCGUAGCCGAUGGGAAUCCGGUUCAUAAUCCGGGACCUGAGCCAGACUGAUGCCAUGACGCAUGAGGCGAAAUCCGGCAGGGCGACGGUAGUCCCUGUCCAAGCGGCGAGGCGGUGACGGAGGGGCCAAAAGACCUCCGGAGCCGAGCCGUGACGGCGAGAGGAGAGAAAGUCGAAUCGAAGCGGACGUAGUCACGGUGCCGGGAAACAGUGGCUGGGAAAUGUGGCUCAGACCGUACCGUAAACCGACACAGGUAGGCAGGAUGAGUAAUCUGAGGCGCACGAGCGACCUCGCGUUAAGGAACUCGGCAAAAUGCACACGUAACUUCGGAAGAAGUGUGGCUCCUGUUUGAAAGGAUUAGGAGCGGCAGAAAGCGGGCCCAGGCGACUGUUUAUCAAAAACACAGCCAUCUGCGAACCAGCAAUGGGACGUAUAGGUGGUGACACCUGCCCGGUGCCGGAAGGUUAAGGGGAGCGGUCAGCCCUCGGGCGAAGCUGCGAACCGAAGCCCCGGUAAACGGCGGCCGUAACUAUAACGGUCCUAAGGUAGCGAAAUUCCUUGUCGGGUAAGUUCCGACCCGCACGAAUGGUGUAACGAUUCUGGGCGCUGUCUCAACGCGAGACUCGGUGAAAUUUAUAUUCCGGUAAAGAAGCCGGAUACCCAUAAUUAGACGGAAAGACCCCGUGAACCUUCACCGUAAC